UCGCUGUAGCAAAGCUCGGCCUCUGGAAUUCUGAGAACUAAUUUGCUAUUUGGUGACAUAAGAGGGGGAGUGCGCUUUGCUUUCCCGGGGUCUGGGGUUAAUUCCUCCUCUCUUCCCCAUAAACUCAGCUCCUCGAGCUCAAAACACAAAAGGGAGCGAGAGGUUCGAAUCUUUAGGGGAAAGUCUGUUAUAUACAGUACGUUUCGAGGCGAGUAAGAGAAAAAACAAUAAACACCACAGCUUUUUCCAGCUAGAAUAUUAGGCACCACAAGAAAAAUAUUUGACAAGCAGUUCUCGCUCUUGACUCUACAACAAACACAGAGCGAAUCCCAUGAAUGUCACGGCAGUGGAUUAGGAGCAAGCUGGUCUUGCUAAAGAGGAAAGAAAACCUGAGCAUGGGUGCUGGAGAGAAGAUGGAACACUGAAGCACAGAACGUAACUGACCUAAGGUCAAAGAGCUAACAAACAGAAGUGGGAAUUUGAACCCAGCCAGAAAGAUGAGGAGACUGGGACCCGGGAUGGAAAGGCACCAGCUGGGCUAGUGAGCUGCAGCAUGAAGUUCAAGAUGCAGUCGUUUAACUUCAGAGUGGUGCCUUUUCCCAUGCUGUGGUGUUAAUAAAUACAUUCAUUGCUCCCUGUUCUGAGCAAGACCCUGAGCAAGCCCUUCCGCAUAUGCCCUAAUGCCAUCCUUGCAAUGGCCCUGAGAGAGGUAAAGUACUUUCCCAUCUGUCACCUCCCUGGAUCCUCACGACCACCCCAGGAGAACGCAAGCCGGUGAUGUUAUCCUUCUUUGACAGAUGAGCAAGCAAAGGAUUAGAGAGGGUGAGAACAGUGAUGUUCAGACAGGAAGGUGAUGGGUCCAGGGUCACAUGGCUGGUAAGCUGGAAGAGCAGGAUUGGAGGCCAUGCCUAUUUGCCUUGGAGUCCAGUGUUCACCCCUGCAUACCCGCUGCCUUCCUGAGCAGCUCUGUCUUACAAGGUUAUGCAUCCCCAUAGUACAAGUAAAUGUCCUGAACCCUGCCCCCCUACCCAUGGGUGAUGCCCCUCCAGCUUGGUGUGUUAGUAAAUGACUAAAGUUAGAGUGCAGAAUGUGGACUCUGCAACCAAAUUGCCUGGGUUUGAUUCAUGACCCUGCCACUUAUUAGCUUUGUGACUUUGGGUCAUGGAACUUCCGUAAGCCCCAGUUUCCUCAUCUACGAAAUGGAAACAAUGACAUACUUAUCCCCAGGGAACUUGGAUUAAGUAAUAGAAUACAUGUAAAUCACCUAGCACAAAGUCUGACAUGUAUAGUAGCUGUUCAAUAAGCAUAAAAUGUAAUUGAUAAAUGGCUGACUUUUUAAAAACCCUGGAGCUGUUUUGAAACAUACUGUCCAAUGCUUCGAAGUUCUUUUCUGGAACAUGUCCAGGUGAGGAAGCCAAUAGGUAAAUCUAGACCUGACAUGUUUUAGAGUUUCAGCAACAUGUUCUGUAUCAAUUGGGGUUCAGCUAAGAAAGGGAAAUAUCACAAGCUAUAUGGAAUUAUAGGAAUUAGAUCUUAUACCACUGAUAGAAGACCAAGGGUGUAUUGUGAUUAUAAGUCCUAAAAACUUCUCUGAAAUACCAAUGAAAAUUAAAAGGUAUGAAUAGCAAAUAUAUCUGUGUACAUGGAGAAAAAACACUGAAAGGAAACUCACCACCAUGCUCACUGUGAUAUUUCUGAGUGAUGGGGUAAUGAGAGAUUUUAUUUUUACUUUCAUUUACUUGCUUUCUAAUUUUGUACACAAAUAGGUAUUCAAGUCAGAAAUUUAGUGUUAAGAUUCAUUCAUUUUUUUCUUUCUUUAUCUAACAUCUUUUUUUUUCUCUUAACCCUCCUCCACAAGACAAUAUCUUGUAAACAUUUAUGAUUAUGAAGCUAAUUAUGGGGAAUAGAUAAGGUGGAAGGGGUUAGAAUGGAUAUAGGAUUGGGAUGCAGAGUAGAUGGUCACUGGAUUUAAGUCAGGAAGUAAUCCUCUAGAUUCUGAGAGUCAUGAACAGAAGGUAUCAUAUCCAAGUGAGAGCUUAAACAAGAAAUAUCCAGCAUGGUGGUGCCAUGGAACAGGCAUUCAACUGGGGUGUCGGGGUGUCAGGGCUGGAGGCCUGGCCCAUCUCAGGAACUGACUGGGUCUCACUCUCCGGUGACUCCCUUUCCUCCUCUCUAAAGUGAGAGCCCUCCACACGAGGGAUUUCCUUUCAUAUCUGUGCAUUUCAUUUGCUGAAGCCUAAGAUCAUUGGCAGAGGGAAG
This is a long non-coding RNA of Sus scrofa (pig), 2259 nucleotides long. RefSeq lists it as uncharacterized. The record is from RefSeq and is a predicted model, not a curated record. NCBI's taxonomy places the organism in Eukaryota, Metazoa, Chordata, Mammalia, Artiodactyla, Suidae.